RNAcentral lists this transfer RNA (72 nucleotides) under Bos taurus (domestic cattle). It matches the Rfam family "tRNA". Rfam says of the family: Transfer RNA (tRNA) molecules are approximately 80 nucleotides in length. Their secondary structure includes four short double-helical elements and three loops (D, anti-codon, and T loops). Lineage: Eukaryota; Metazoa; Chordata; Mammalia; Artiodactyla; Bovidae. RNAcentral also lists the same sequence under 5 other names. The record is from Rfam by way of RNAcentral.
UCCCUGGUGGUCCCAUGGUUAAGACUCUGCACUUCCACUGCAGGGGCCACGGUUCAACCCCUGGUCAAGGAA